This 493-nucleotide ribosomal RNA is filed under the name uncultured bacterium. RNAcentral describes it as "partial 16S ribosomal RNA". It matches the Rfam family "Bacterial small subunit ribosomal RNA", at positions 30 to 523 of the family's 1533-position model. The record is from RNAcentral.
AUUGAACGCUGGCGGCAUGCUUUACACAUGCAAGUCGAACGGUAACAGGUUAAGCUGACGAGUGGCGAACGGGUGAGUAAUGCAUCGGAACGUGCCCGAUCGUGGGGGAUAACGCGGCGAAAGCUGCGCUAAUACCGCAUACGAUCUGAGGAUGAAAGCGGGGGACCGUAAGGCCUCGCGCGAUCGGAGCGGCCGAUGUCAGAUUAGGUAGUUGGUGGGGUAAAGGCACACCAAGCCGACGAUCUGUAGCUGGUCUGAGAGGACGACCAGCCACACUGGGACUGAGACACGGCCCAGACUCCUACGGGAGGCAGCAGUGGGGAAUUUUGGACAAUGGGCGAAAGCCUGAUCCAGCAAUGCCGCGUGCAGGAAGAAGGCCUUCGGGUUGUAAACUGCUUUUGUACGGAGCGAAAAGGUCCUUUCUAAUACAAGGGGCUCAUGACGGUACCGUAAGAAUAAGCACCGGCUAACUACGUGCCAGCCGCCGCCGUAA